CCCUCUGUAUGCAGAAUAUUGUGCAACAUGGUUAUGGGUACUACAGUGGAUGUGAGUGUGUAGACCUUGUACAAUAGAGCUUAUAGGCUAAUGAGAAGACAGGAAGAAACAACAGGAACACAUAUAGCUGGAAUGCAGAUGGGAUCUGUGCUACUUACGCUAGCCAUGGGAUGAUUAGAACAAGAUAAGAGACAUGAGGAAGACUUCUUCAAGGAGGUGCUCAAGCCAUGUUUUGGAAAAGAGAACUCAAGGUCUGGCAGGGAGAAAGGAGCAAGACUGCCUGGCAGCUCUUUAGAAAGUUGUGUGACGUAUGAACCAGUUCUUCCCUAUAUGAGAGUGUACCGUACAUCGCAGGCUGUCCAGCAUCGACCCCACUGAUGGAUGCUAGUAGUCCUCCCCGCCAGCACUCAACAUUGUGACAGUCAAAAACAUCCUCUCUACAUUUUCAAUGCCCCUGUUGGGGUAGCAGGACUCCCACUGAGAGACCCCAGUAGAGAUGGUCCCCAAGCAUGCUAACCAUGAAGCAGUGAUAUCGCACAGCACCUGCUUCCAGCAGCCCGGAGCCAAGGGGCAAAAUGGAAAGAGUCAGCAUUUCUCUUUUAGGUUCUCUGCCUCUCUAGUGUGAAGACUGAAGAAACCUAAUCCUAGGUGCUGCCACUGGGACAAACAAGAAGCACCAGACACAGUGCUGUUUUAGGGUGGGGCAGAAUUAUGCUGAGGGAAAAGUUAUUAUCACUCUUUAAGGCCAAGGAAACCACAAUUUUUAAAGAAGCUUCUAGAAAUUCUACCCAGUAGAAAAUAAAGAUAAACUUCUGUAAGGAAUUUCAUUCUUUUCAGAAUUCGCAAUCUGAAAUGUAGAAGCCCAUUCCUUCAUGGUUCUCAUAGAUAUUUAGUGUGACUGAGGGGUCAGUGGACUCAUAGCACUCAGGCCAGGCUUCUCCUGAGUCCCUUUCUUUGGCACAGAGGGAGUGAUUCACAGAUCCUCUACCCCCAAAGGCAUUGUUUCCUCAUCUCAACAAGAAUCCAGCACCCGUCAUUUUAUCAGCACACGUCACUAGCUUCUCAAGUGAGACUACUCUGAAGUGAUCUGUGUUUGAAGAAUGCCUUUCCCUUUCCCUUACGUAACUAAGAGGAUGAAAAAGGACACUCACUCCCUAUAUGAAAGCUGUGUAUUGUAAGCAGUCAUCUUGCCUGGCUGAGAACUCUAGGAUCUUUUUCUCUGCUCUCCUUUAGGCUGACACUCAUAGCCAGACCUUCUGUUUAUUAGCCCCCUGAAUCUAUUUGAAAAUAUUUUUGCUUUCAUUAUAAUAUAAGUCACAUUCUUCUUGCAUCUGCCGCUGCAUUUUCCAAAAGGGUUAUGUCAAGGGAAAUUCAACACUCACUUUUCUCAUUAUUUGCUUACCAGCUUGCUCACUCAUCAAAAUACCAGAGUUAUUUGAUACUUCAGAAGAUUAUUUCCCCCUUUAGAUGAUGUGUCAAGGGAAGGGGAGCUGGCCCCAGUAUCAGGUGACAGAAUUUUCUUCGCAUUUCUACUGUUGACUCAAUAAAUGCCCUUGGGCAAGUCA
Homo sapiens (human) is the source of this 1565-nucleotide long non-coding RNA. Ensembl annotates it as long intergenic non-protein coding RNA 2532. NCBI's taxonomy places the organism in Eukaryota, Metazoa, Chordata, Mammalia, Primates, Hominidae. The record is from Ensembl.